UCUCCUGCCUCUGUACAGUGUCUGAGAG
This 28-nucleotide non-coding RNA is filed under the name Rattus norvegicus (Norway rat). Lineage: Eukaryota; Metazoa; Chordata; Mammalia; Rodentia; Muridae. The record is from RNAcentral.